RNAcentral lists this transfer RNA (75 nucleotides) under Bacillota bacterium. Its description in RNAcentral is "tRNA-Asp". It matches the Rfam family "tRNA". Rfam says of the family: Transfer RNA (tRNA) molecules are approximately 80 nucleotides in length. Their secondary structure includes four short double-helical elements and three loops (D, anti-codon, and T loops). The record is from RNAcentral. Lineage: Bacteria; Bacillati; Bacillota.
GGGGCGUAGUGUAGCGGUUAACAUGCCUGCCUGUCACGCAGGAGAUCGCGGGUUCGACUCCCGUCAGCUCCGCCA